CUCUCGGAUAACGGGGCAGGCCGGUGGCCCACGCAGCCCACCAGCUUGCAGGGAGGGCAGACCCUGGGGGAUGUGAGGGAGGCUUUCUCACGCAGACCCUAAAACGGUGAGCGCCAGGGAGCCCCGCCUGCUUGUCCCCUCCCCAGAUCCCUCGGGCUCUGGAGACCUUGCGGGCCCCCUGUCCGUGACCACCUGAAACAGGUCCUGGAGCUGCUACUGCUGGCUUAGGCUGGUUGGUGGAAAGGAUCCAGGGCUGUUGUGAAGGCCUUGGGGAGUCCAGAAGCCGCCUGGCACCUUCUGGGUCCAGACGCUGCCCUUCAGCCCUGCCAUUUCAGCCAGCCUCAGCGUCGCUGUAGAGGCAGGCCGCCCUUUCUGCCACUGUCUGGCUGGGCUGGGCCGUGGGAGUGCUGGCCAACGUGCCAGGCAGGGAGGACCUGAAUUCCUGAAGGUGGUGGUGGCAGCUGUUAGGGUCCACAGGUUAAUGAUCUCCAACGUCACACAGAAGAGAAUGUGCUGAGGUGUGACCUCCCUCACCCUGCCUUGGCUGCGUGGGGCACCGUCUCUCCAGGACUCACCCUGCCCCCCAAUAGACUGAAGUCUGAAGAUCAGCCCAGUCUUCCUUCAGGCCUCAAUGCCCUCUCACUUCCCCAGCCCGAGGGACUCCUGGCUCUUCUCGGAGGCUGCUCUGUGGGGUCCCUCCCUUGGGCCUUUGCUAAUGCUGUGCCCUCUGCCUGUGCCAGAGGUGGGCCUGGGCCCGUUUCUCAGGGAGCUCCUGAACACCAAGAAAUUGAAUUGCUUUGUAAAUAAACAAAAAGUGCCAAACAAGCCUGCCUGUCACUUGGGAGAUGGCCCGUCUCUG
This 859-nucleotide long non-coding RNA is filed under the name Homo sapiens (human). RNAcentral describes it as "non-protein coding lnc-AGRP-1:24". The record is from RNAcentral. Lineage: Eukaryota; Metazoa; Chordata; Mammalia; Primates; Hominidae.